RNAcentral lists this ribosomal RNA (484 nucleotides) under uncultured bacterium. RNAcentral describes it as "partial 16S ribosomal RNA". It matches the Rfam family "Bacterial small subunit ribosomal RNA", at positions 29 to 507 of the family's 1533-position model. The record is from RNAcentral.
AUUGAACGCUGGCGGCAUGCUUUACACAUGCAAGUCGAACGGCAGCGCGGGCUUCGGCCUGGCGGCGAGUGGCGAACGGGUGAGUAAUACAUCGGAACGUGCCCAGUAGUGGGGGAUAGCUCGGCGAAAGCCGGAUUAAUACCGCAUACGACCUGAGGGUGAAAGCGGGGGAUCUUCGGACCUCGCGCUAUUGGAGCGGCCGAUGGCAGAUUAGCUAGUUGGUGGGGUAAAGGCCUACCAAGGCGACGAUCUGUAGCUGGUCUGAGAGGACGACCAGCCACACUGGAACUGAGACACGGCCCAGACUCCUACGGGAGGCAGCAGUGGGGAAUUUUGGACAAUGGGCGAAAGCCUGAUCCAGCAAUGCCGCGUGUGUGCUGAAGGCCUUCGGGUUGUAAAGCACUUUUGGCGGGAACGAAAAGGACUGUGCCAAUACCACGGUUCGAUGACGGUACCCGCAGAAUAAGCACCGGCUAACUACGUG